UAAAAGCUGUUGUCUCUUUCAGUCUGGAAAUGGGGAAGAAGAUUUCCAAUUUAGCUCUCACAGACAGCAGAAUGCAGGAAAAAAAAAAAAAAAGGAGAAAUAAAAUUGAGGAAAACCUACAAUAUUGAGGUUUUAUAUAAGAAAUGUUUAAAAACUUACUUGCUCUACCCCAUUAACAUUAUAAAAGCACAGUGUUGGAAGCCAAUCCAGUAAAGGACUCCUGUCUUCCUCAGAAAUGCCAUCUAUCAGAUUUCCAUCAUAGAACAGGUCGUUGGCUAUGGCACUGAUGGCAGGGUGGCAUCGGUACUGUGUCCGAAGAACUAUUGCUUUAUGUCCCUAAAGAAUUAUGAUACAGGAAGUGUGACAAGGAAAAAGAAUUACUAAAUGUUUUGCAAUGCCAGCUCGGACAAAUAAGAUGUAAGAGGAAGCAAUUGCUGCAGUAAGCUGGCUUAACCUUUGUACACUCACUUUUACUAAAGUCAGAACAAAUACCGUGGCCCCCAAUUCUUCUACCUGGAUGGAAAACUUCACAAAAAGGAGGGAGAAUCUGUCAUUGUUUUUCAGUCCUCCUUGUUUUACAUUUGUUAUGCUUAGAAAUUUCCAAGCACUGUGAAAAUAACCUUUAUGGAGCAAUGUGCUAGAGUGGAAUCUGCUUCAUUAAAAACCAGGCUGAAAUACUGAUCCUCUCACAACUGAACUCUUUCAGUGGCUUCAGUGGACCUGCAGUUCACCCUCCAUUGCUGGUUGUUGGUACAUACCAUCAGACAAAGCCGGUCAAAGAGAGUCUGCUCCAGUCCCUUCUCAUGAACACUCUCAGACCCUUGAAUAGUUGGUGGUAACUGCUUAGGGUCUCCAACAAGGACUAGCUUUUCACACUGAAACCUAAAUAAGAAUGUUAAAAAAUGAGAAAAAAAGUUCUAAAAAUGGAUGCCAAACUAUUCAUGAUGAAAGCACGUGCUGUGUUUAUAUAUCACAGGCUGCUUUCCAUCAAGCUCCCUUCUCCAUCGCCCUCUUUCCGUAUGAAAAUAACUCAAGGCACUGAAGAGCAGGUCUCAAUUUAAAAUCACUCCUCUUGCUUUCCAAGGUGAGACCUCGGAGUUCAUGUUCUUCAAAAGAUGUGCAAGUCUGGCAAUUAUUUGAGGUUUUGCCACUGCUGACUUGAAGUUAUUUCUCUGCUGAAACACAAAAGGAAGGCUGUACCUUGCAAUAGGAAGGAGAGAAGCAGGUUCAGUCAUCUGACUGCACUCAUCCAGAAUCACAACAGGAAACCGAAGAGAAUUCAGACAAGGGAACGGGCAGGCAGCACAGGUCACUCCAACCACUUUCACCUUGGUUAGUAGUGAGGGGAAAACAGGUAGACCAGAAGUUCAGAUCAUUUAAUAGUUAAGCUCUGAGCAGCACAUAACUAUAGCUUCAGCAGUAGAAUACACCUAAACUAAUUUUUAGCAGUUUUGUUACAUGCUGUGUUGUACUUAUGGGUCUCAAAAAAUUAUGUUCUAACUUCCAGUAAAAGGCACUGUGUAUACAUGGAGAUGGAUCCAAGGGCCAGUUCUUGUGCUUGGGGUGUUCAGAAAUUGAGAAGAUGUUUCUACAGGAAGAAGCAGUAAUCUUAAGAGAUCUUGCUAGGACACAACUCUACUUAUGUGAAAUCCUGCAAAAGGCAGAAUGAAAAUUCAAGGAUCAGAAGCUCCGUGCUGGUGGAAUAGUUGUUAUAAUGUCAACAUCAUUAUCAGAGAGACCUCAUCCAGGAAAAGAAUUUUCAGGAAAUGCAUGAAGUAGGUGAGGAAAGCAGCGUUACAAUAGAGUUUAAAAGGAUAUUCCAUUCACAGGGGCAGCUCAAUCAAGCUCAUCUUUUGCGCUACAUUUAAAGUAAGUGAACAUUUACAUAGACAUAAGAAUCUCCCUUUAAGUCUGCCUGGAACUGUACAUGUAUGAUUAAGGAAACAAGACUACUGUUUCAUCACAAUGAAAUAUCCCUAAAUUCUCCCAAGCACUGGCAUUAUAUAUGAAUUAGCAUUUCUGCAAAGUUGCAAUAGUAGCAAAUUUCACAAUUAUUUGCUGUGUACCACGUAUGAUAGUGAUAGGGAGGAUCUGACGUUCUUCCACUGGUUUGGUGUUUUCACAGGAGGUCAUCAUCUGAGCUAUGUGAAGCAGUGAUGUAGCUUGAUCUGGGUUCAACAAGAACGUUUGGAUAAUCUUUUUAGCUAAUCCCAUUGCCACUUCAGUGCUGAUCGGUCCGUACAUUGUUGUGCGUUUCAGGCUGGGGGCAGGUGGAGUAAAUUUGCUUUUCUUGACUCUAUUAGUAGCAUUUUCAGAAUCAAAAUUCCUAAGGAAAAUACAGUGGUCAAAGGUUGUGCUAUAAUACUGCAUAUAUAUAAUUUGUUCAGAUAUUCUUAUAUUCUGAUAGUCAUGGUUCUGAUAUUCUUACUCACCUGACAUGGAAAUGAUCAGGCUUUGUGAUUAACAGUUAAUCAUAAAGCUCAGGCUUUAUGAUUAACUAACGCUGCCCCUUAUUACUUCCCUGGGCAAAAGCUGGAUCACAUGAAACGGGCUUUUGGUUUUUACCAUUCUUGCUCUAUGUUAACACUUUCCAUCUGACUUACUUCAAAGACACAAGACUGACAGAAUUAAGAGCGGUAGAAGAACAUAGUUCGGGUAGCAGGGAUUCAUUUAAUUCCUUGUUUUAUACAGUGAAUCACAAGCAGUAUUGGAAAUACCCCUAUAUUGCUCUGAUUCUCCAAGAAGAUUUUUCAUAUUUAGGUUUUGUGUCAAGGGAUGCUCAACAAUGGGAAGGAAAAACAGUUCCACUGAACCCCUCUAAAGUGUAUUCAUUACCUUGAUACAGAUCAGUCAGUGACUAAUGUUAUAAUAAUGCCUAAUAUUAACGUCUAGGUUGUAAAACAUGGGCUGCAGGUAAGUUUUAAGAAAAAAAACCUCCUACAAAAUUACAAUUUUGAGUUAAGCAACCGAUACAUUUUCUUUUCCAUAUAAAUGAAAAUUGCAUGGUCAACAGUUCCUUGCACUGUUUUUCUGUUUUCAGUUUUCCUCCUCCACUUUUUAAUAGGGCAAACUCAAUGGUGGUUUUGUUGGUGUUUUUUCUGUACCUAUUGGCACACUGUAUGCUUACAGUAUCAUUGAAAGACUAACUUACAUUUUUAGUAGAUGUGGUAUUAGUGGUAACGUAGAUGGAUUGAAGUGCUCCUCCAUAUUUCUUAAAGAUGCAAGCUCACCACUAGCGUUACAAACCAGCAGGGCAUGAACAAACACUGAAAAGGCCACAGAAAGGUAAGAUUAGGAAAAAGUGAAAUUAGCCAAAAUUUUGUAUCAGCUAGAUAAGUGAAUUACAAAAUGCCAAAAGAGGAAUUAGCUUCCUGUAAUACAAACCAAGUUGCUUUAAAGCAUGAUGGUGAAAAUAACUAAUACAGGACAGAUUUGGUUUUCCUGAAUUUUGAAACCCCCAUUUUUUAGCCAUUCUACACUGUAGCAACAAAGGCACAGAAAGAAAGGAUGGAACAGCAAAAUCACAGGUUUAAUACAUGGCCUUUUACAGAAAUUCUCCAUAGUGAGUUGUUCGAGGUUUCUGUUGGUUUGUUCUUCAAGGACAGUGAUAACAUGCUCCUGUUACCUGCACUCCUGACAGUCAAUUUGCAUUCUAUAUUAUAUUAUUUACUGCAUUAUUUAUAUUAUCUCCAUUUCUUCAUCCCCCAUUUAGAAUUUCUUACCAGGCACUUCGCAGGUCUAAUUCCACUAAGUACUGUGUUCAAAUUACAUACUUAAAUAUACAAGGAAAGAAAAUACUGUGAAUACAUCAAUAUAUUAGAUUUGAGAAACUCGAAUCUCAUCCAUCACCAGUGGCCAGAUGUUUCCCUCAGUAGUUGUUUGCCACAAUUCUGAAUUAUUUGGUGUAGAACUCACUAUUCGAUCUCCAGUUUGAAGGACAGUAGCCUUUCAGUGGUAGCAAUUCUAUUUCAUUGGUGGAAGAUGGUCCAAAGAAAGCACUAGUUGCAAUGAAAGUAUCAAGGGGAUCAAAGUUGAGAGUCUUCGAAACAACCCAAAUAUCAUCUGUCAAGAAAAACCCAAACAGAGUUCUCAUGAACUUCUACUGCUGUCUUAUAAAGAAAAUGUAGCUAGAAAGAACAGCUCAGCAUUUACUACACUGCAAAUUAAACCCCUGCUAACAUCAAAGCAGGGGGUAUUAGAAAGUCCUAACUACAUGUUGGUUCAGUUCAGAAAGAGUGAAUAAAUAAUUUGCAAGUCCUCUAGUAGUUACUGUCUGAAAUUGAUGGUGACUGUGAUGUUCUCUCCUGGUGCACUCAGUAACAUUUGACUUCUGACAGGUCUGAAAUAUUCUCAGUUUUGGGAGUAUUUGGAACAAAUCACUGAAUGUCCUCCAACUUUGUGAGAUUUUAAUAAUUGAGAAGAAAUAUGCAACAACUGCUGAAACACCAAUUUUUACAUCAAGUUUUUCCUUAAAUAUAGUCUAUUUGAAUAUUGGUCUUUCCCAAAACUUCACCAUUUAGAUUUAAUACCCUUCAAAGCCAAGGAUAUGGAAUUUAUAUUUCUCUGAGGUAGUUGAACAAGAAAAGAUGAAUGAGAUAGUUCAUUGCCCUUCUAGAAUGAGAACUGCAUUAUCAUGUUUGUCAGGAGUUUAAAAAUAGGAUUUGGUUUUUCUCUUUAGGUGACAAAUUAAAACUUUAAAAAGCACAACAUGACAGGGACAAUUCUUCUGAUGCUUAAGAUUUGCUCACCUUUGCUAUAGAGAGAAUAAUGCUCCUUUCUGCUUAGUUUGAGGUAUAAUUUGGUUUUGGAAUCACCAUCAAAUCUGGCAGGUGUAUUCAUCAAUUUCUUGAACUUACUACAUGGCUGUGUUUGAAUUUCAAAGCCUUUCCUGUUAAAUUGUAAUUUUAGAGUAUGUAAACAAUCAGCACAUUUUGGAUUCACCACCAAAAAUAAGCAAGCUCCACAGAUCGGACCAGAUUAUACAGCACAGACCUUGGUAGUUGUCCAUCAUCUUACAUUACCAAGUUUUAAAUACAUUUAUCUUGCAAAAUACUUCUCUCAUAUACAGCCAGAAUUAAAUUGUUUUCCCUAUAGUUAAGCAGCACAGGAUAGCCUUCAAUAUAACUUCUAACAUUAAAAUUAGAAUCACUAAGAGAAUAAACCAAAUUCUCUUAUGAAAGAUUAAACAAACAGUAAUUCAAAUGCAACAAUCAUAGGGGACUUCAUUAAACAAUUGAUCAGUUGCUGGGAAGAAGCUUUGAUUCUUGCUGAAGAGAGUGCUGACCUGGAUGCUGAGUUCCUUCACUAGUUUGGCUUUGACAUUUCUACACAGAACUGUAAGCCUCUUUUAGCAUAGUUAGUAAAAGUGUCUGUUAAAUGCUAGUGAAUAUACUGGAAUGUUUAUAAAUCCUGCAAUUCACAUAAGCAUAUGUGAAUCAUAGAAUCAACUGGGUUGGAAAAGACCUUUAAGAUGAUCAAGUCCAACUGUUACCCCAGGACUGCCAAGGCCACCACUAAAGCAUGUCACUGAGGGCCUCAUCUAUGCGGUGAAGAGUGCACAGCGUUUCAGAAUACCUCACCAAAAGCUGGCAUUCCUCAUAGAGAGAAAUCUUUUGACUUCUGAGGUAUGUCCCAAUACUUUUUAUAUCAUGAAGCGCUACACUAGGUCUGGAUUUUGUCUGUGCGGGGUUCACAUCUUCUAUCCACUUGAAAAACGAACACUGCUCAGCUUUGGGGGCAUCACACGUAUAGAAUAAACGACCCUGGGAAGGGAGAGGAAAGGA
Long non-coding RNA from Strigops habroptila (Kakapo), 5783 nucleotides. RefSeq lists it as uncharacterized. NCBI's taxonomy places the organism in Eukaryota, Metazoa, Chordata, Aves, Psittaciformes, Psittacidae. The record is from RefSeq and is a predicted model, not a curated record. The transcript is spliced from 2 exons.